UGCAGUCUCGUUCCUGAAUCUCUGCUGUCAGGAAAGCAGGCCUGGCCCCAUGUUAUUGUCUCUUGUUUUGUACCAAAAAUAAACCGUUGGAUCCUGCUGUGGCUCUCCUCCAGUGUCUGCUGCUCUUCUGCGUUUCUUCUUGACUUCAUAGCUCGGAUCCACAUAGCCUUCCUGCCAUCAAACACUGCUGUUCCAGUAGAGCAUCUUUCAGUUCUCUGGUUCUUCCUGUUAAUCUUCAGGUUUUUAGAUUCCUUUCUGAACCUCACAGCAUGUUUGAUGUUUGUUGACAGAGGUCAUGUGAAGCUGAGUGUGCAAUGCUCCAGGAGCAGAAAGAUCACAGUGGCUUCAGCCUGCAAACAGGCUGAGUGGAGAGAUGUGCCCAUGCCCACAUGGACCUGCUGA
Molecule: long non-coding RNA, 402 nt
Filed under: Parus major (Great Tit)
Lineage: Eukaryota; Metazoa; Chordata; Aves; Passeriformes; Paridae
Description: lncRNA (ENSPMJG00000005616.1)
Source: RNAcentral